Molecule: ribosomal RNA, 1262 nt
Filed under: Childrena zenobia
Lineage: Eukaryota; Metazoa; Arthropoda; Insecta; Lepidoptera; Nymphalidae
Description: partial 16S ribosomal RNA
Rfam family: Archaeal large subunit ribosomal RNA (bases 1072-1230)
Source: RNAcentral
GGGGGAAAAUUAAUAAAAUAAAAUUAAUAAAAAAAUUUUUAAUAUUGGGGGGUAUUAAAGUAUUUUUUAAAGAAAAAAUAAAAAAAUUUAUAGUGAAUUAAUAUUGUAAAAUAAAUUCGAAAUAGUAUUGAAAAUUAAUUAAAAAAAAAGUAAAUUUAGUUUAUUGUAUCUUGUGUAUCAGAGUUUAUUUAAAAAUAUUUAAUAAAUAAUAAAAUCUCGAAUUUAAAAGAGUUAAUUAAUUAUAAAAGUUAAUGUUGAAUAAUUAUUUUAAAUAAUUAAUUAGAAAUGAAAUGUUAAUCGUUUUUAAAUAUAUCUAGUUUUUUUAGAAAAAAAUUUAAUUUUAAAUUUGAAAAAUUUUAUAUUUAAUUAAUUAAAUAUAAGAUUUCAAAAUUAAAUAUUUUAAGGGAUAAGCUUUAAUUUAAAUAUUUAUAAUAAAAAUAAUUAUUAAUGAAAAUUUUAAAAUUUAUAUUGUUUAAAAAUUAUAAUUUAUUAAAAAAAAUUUUAUAAUAAAUAAAAUUUAACUAAUAUAUUUAAUUUUUUAUAAAAAAUUAUUUUUUAAUUAUUAAAGAAUAGAAAUAAUGAUAAAAUUAGUAUAUUAUUAUUAAAAAAAUAUAAAUAUAAAUUAAAAUUAAUUUAAAGGAAUUCGGCAAAAAUUUAUAUUCACUUGUUUAUCAAAAACAUGUCUUUUAGAAAAUAAUUUAAAGUCUAAUCUGCCCACUGAUUAAUAAAAAUUAAAGGGCUGCAGUAUAUUGACUGUACAAAGGUAGCAUAAUCAUUAGUCUUUUAAUUGGAGACUUGUAUGAAAGAUUUGAUGAAAUAUAAACUGUCUCUAAAUUAUUAAUAAAAAUUAAUUUUUUAGUUAAAAAGCUAAAAUUUACUUAAAAGACGAGAAGACCCUAUAGAGUUUUAUAAUAAUAAUAAUUAAAAUUAAAUAUAUAAAUAUAAAUUAAAAUUAUUAUUAUUAUUUUGUUGGGGUGAUAAAAAAAUUAAAAAAACUUUUUUUUUUAUAUAUUUCAUAAAUAAGUGAAUUAAUGAUCCAUUUAUAAUGAUUAAAAGAAAAAUUACCUUAGGGAUAACAGCGUAAUUUUUUUUUUUAGUGCAGAUAAAAAAAAAAGAUUGCGACCUCGAUGUUGGAUUAAGAUAAAAAUUAAAUGCAAAAGUUUAAAAUUUUGAUCUGUUCGAUCAUUAAAAUCUUACAUGAUCUGAGUUCAAACCGGUGUGAGCCAGGUUGGUUUCUAUCUUUAGAAAAUUAAAAUAUUUUA